CCUACGGGUGGCAGCAGUAGGGAAUAUUGCUCAAUGGGGGAAACCCCGAAGCAGCAACGCCGCGUGGAGGAUGAAGGUUUUCGGAUUGUAAACUCCUUUUGUUAGAGAAGAUAAUGACGGUAUCUAACGAAUAAGCACCGGGUAACUCCGGGCCAGCAGCCGCGGUAACACGGAGGAUGCGAGCGUUAGCCGGAUUUAUGGGGUUUAAAGGGUGGGCAGGCGGAAGAUCAAGUCAGCGGUAAAAUGGAGAGGCUCAACCUCUUCGAGCCGUUGAAACUGGUUUUCUUGAGUGAGGGAGAAGUAUGCGGAAUGCGGGGUGUAGCGGUGAAAUGCAUAGAUAUCGCGAAGAACUCCGAUUGCGAAGGCAGCAUACCGGCGCUCAACUGACGCUGAUGCACGAAGGUGUGGGGAGCGAACAGGAUUAGAUACCCGAGUAGUC
This 439-nucleotide ribosomal RNA is filed under the name uncultured bacterium. RNAcentral's name for it is "partial 16S ribosomal RNA". It matches the Rfam family "Bacterial small subunit ribosomal RNA", at positions 338 to 795 of the family's 1533-position model. The record is from RNAcentral.